RNAcentral lists this ribosomal RNA (497 nucleotides) under uncultured bacterium. Its description in RNAcentral is "partial 16S ribosomal RNA". It matches the Rfam family "Bacterial small subunit ribosomal RNA", at positions 28 to 507 of the family's 1533-position model. The record is from RNAcentral.
GAUGAACGCUGGCGGCGUGCCUAAUACAUGCAAGUCGAGCGAACAGACGAGGAGCUUGCUCCUCUGACGUUAGCGGCGGACGGGUGAGUAACACGUGGAUAACCUACCUAUAAGACUGGGAUAACUUCGGGAAACCGGAGCUAAUACCGGAUAAUAUAUUGAACCGGAUGGUUCAAUGGUGAAAGACGGUUUUGCUGUUACUUAUAGAUGGAUCCGCGCCGCAUUAGCUAGUUGGUAAGGUAACGGCUUACCAAGGCGACGAUGCGUAGCCGACCUGAGAGGGUGAUCGGCCACACUGGAACUGAGACACGGUCCAGACUCCUACGGGAGGCAGCAGUAGGGAAUCUUCCGCAAUGGGCGAAAGCCUGACGGAGCAACGCCGCGUGAGUGAUGAAGGUCUUCGGAUCGUAAAACUCUGUUAUUAGGGAAGAACAAAUGUGUAAGUAACUAUGCACGUCUUGACGGUACCUAAUCAGAAAGCCACGGCUAACUACGUG